CAAUAGCGUAUAUUAAAGUUGUUGCAGUUAGAACGCUCGUAGUCGGAUUUCGGGGCGGGCCGACCGGUCUGCCGAUGGGUACGCACUGGUCGGCGCGUCCUUCCUUCCGGAGACCGUUCCUACUCUUAACUGAGCGGGGGCGGGAGACGGAUCGUUUACUUUGAAAAAAUCAGAGUGUUUCGAGCAGGCAGCUCGCUCUUGCAUGGAUUAGCAUGGGAUAAUGAAAUAGGACUUUGGUGCUAUUUUGUUGGUUUCGAACACCGAAGUAAUGAUUAAAAGGGACAGUCAGGGGCACUCGUAUUCCGCCGAGAGAGGUGAAAUUCUCAGACCAGCGGAAGACGAACUACUGCGAAAGCAUUUGCCAGGGAUGUUUUCACUG
This 379-nucleotide ribosomal RNA is filed under the name uncultured eukaryote. Its description in RNAcentral is "partial 18S ribosomal RNA". It matches the Rfam family "Eukaryotic small subunit ribosomal RNA", at positions 592 to 975 of the family's 1831-position model. The record is from RNAcentral.